This 497-nucleotide ribosomal RNA is filed under the name uncultured bacterium. RNAcentral's name for it is "partial 16S ribosomal RNA". It matches the Rfam family "Bacterial small subunit ribosomal RNA", at positions 28 to 507 of the family's 1533-position model. The record is from RNAcentral.
GAUGAACGCUGGCGGCGUGCCUAAUACAUGCAAGUCGAGCGAACGGACGAGAAGCUUGCUUCUCUGAUGUUAGCGGCGGACGGGUGAGUAACACGUGGAUAACCUACCUAUAAGACUGGGAUAACUUCGGGAAACCGGAGCUAAUACCGGAUAAUAUUUUGAACCGCAUGGUUCAAAAGUGAAAGACGGUCUUGCUGUCACUUAUAGAUGGAUCCGCGCUGCAUUAGCUAGUUGGUAAGGUAACGGCUUACCAAGGCAACGAUGCAUAGCCGACCUGAGAGGGUGAUCGGCCACACUGGAACUGAGACACGGUCCAGACGCCUAAGGGAGGAAGCAGUAGGGAAGCUUCCGCAAUGGGCGAAAGCCUGACGGAGCAACGCCGCGUGAGUGAUGAAGGUAUUCGGAUCGUAAAACUCUGUUAUUAGGGAAGAACAUAUGUGUAAGUAACUGUGCACAUCUUGACGGUACCUAAUCAGAAAGCCACGGCUAACUACGUG